CCCUCCUCCCCCGGCACGGCCCGGGCCCCGCGGGCGGAGGCGGCGCUGCCGGCGGCGCCUCCGGGCGGGCGGGCGGGCGGCGAGCGGGAGGGGGGCGCGCGGGGGCGACGGGCGGGGCGGCGCGGGCCGGGGGCGCGGAGCAGGGCUCGGCCGCUGGCGGUGGCCCCGCGGGAGGGGGCGCGGAGGGGGGGCGCGGGGACAAAGCCCGAGGCUGCCGCCGCCGCCGCCAACUCCGCGCUGGCAGAUGGGGGGGGGGGGGGGGCGCGAAGAGAAGGAGGCCGCGGCAGCAACUGGGUUUGGCCCAGCUCGGCUCCCGUGGACUAGGGGCUGCACAGGCGCCGCUCCCCCAUUGGCCACGAAAGCAAAAGCCUCGCCGUCAUUGGCCGUCCUCCUUCGCCGUUCCCGCCCACCGUUUUGACAAGCCCGGAAUGGAGCGGCACCGCCUUGUGGGGGAGGGAGAGGGUGGGAGAGAGAGAGGCGGGGCUCGGAGGGAGAGGCCCCUUCGGAUUGGCUGGCUGUGUUACCGUGGCGAUCGCUUCUGGCCCCGCUGAUUGGCGGAGCCGUGUCUCCGUGGUGGCAGGGAAGAUUACGGGCUCAGCUUGGUGAAUGGACUGCUGCCAUGGAGACAUCGAGCAUAGCUUAAAAUAGCUAGUAAGGCAGAAGUGGAAAGGGGAGUAUGGCCAGCACGACAGGAGGGAAGGGAAAAACAGUUUUACUCACUGACGUCUGAGAUGCAAGCAGGAGAGAGGCAAGCCACAACAGGAGAGAUGAGGGGCUGCAGCCAUUAAGGACUCUCAGUCCAGAGCCCAGUGAAGCUGGAGGACAUCCUCCUCAGUUCCUGCCAAAGCUUGUCAUCUGUAGUACUACAGGAGGAAUUUCUGCUGUUUCCACUGGCAAGGCCAACAGUUUGUGGAUACGGCCAACUACACCAGAUUGUCGCAAAUACAACUUUGUGUAUCCUGCCGACUACACCAGAUUGUCGGGAAUUUGAUUUGUUACACGGCUUUGGGCUGGUGACAUGCUCCCUCAGUACCACGUACCUUAAAUGAAAGAGGCAGAAAGCUGAAAAGCAGGCGGCUCUUCAGUUAAAUAGAAGAUGGUGGUGCAGGGUUUCCUCGUGCUCAGGACACGGAGGUAUGGCAGAGUUCUAGCCACAGGCUGAGAAACUGGGCUCAGCUAUGAAGCAUGGGUUAAGUGUGGGACAUCCUCCUGCUUUGCCUUCUAAGCAGUCUUUGUACGGGAAGGAGUAACAGGAGCACUUACCUGUUCAGAGCUAUUUCAGUCAUUUUUCCCUGAGGUGCAGGGGAGGGUUGGCCCAGUGCAUGCCCUUGAAGCACAGCCCACUGACACACAUGUAUGCCUGCUCGCAUUUUGUUCCUUUUCAGGAAGAAAAGCAUGAAGGCAGAUUUUGGCAAGAGUGACUUGCUUGUUUGUGUGCCCUUAGCAUGCAGGGUUUGCCUUGAGUAACAUCCUGUGCCCAGCUUGGGUGGCACAUGUCUUCAGCUGGCCCAGCUUUCAAGGUCUGUUGCUUUCUUGGAUUUUGCUCUCGUUGUCCUCUUGCACAUGGUUUACUUUACCUUCUUUCCUAUCAUGCUUUUCACUUUGUCCGCUUCCUGUCUCCUCCCUUCUCAGGAAGCUGUUCACCACCACUGUUGUUUGGCAUUUUUCUCUUUACAAACUGUCAUUCUCCAUCUGAGGAACCUGCUGUUCCUAGCAAUCCUUCCUUCUACUGUCCACCCAGACUUGAUAGUCUUUAGAAAACAAAUAUCUCUGCUUCCUGUAUAACUUAGUAGCAUCUAAGAGACUAUCAGCAGGUAAUUAUCCACCUUCUAAAUACCUCACUGUACACCAGAGAAAAAAGAAGGCCAUGCCCUCUCCAGGAGAUACUUCACAAUCAUCCAGCAGCCUUCUGUCAAUUUAGACUCCUCUUCAGAAAACUAGUUUAUUAUGCACAGUUGCAAAGCAAACUUUGAUAAGAGCUAAAAGCACUUUGAGAAGAAGAAUAUGACACGUUCCUAGUCAGUGUUGCACUAGCACUACUGUAAACUGCCCUGUGGUUAUUAACCAGAGCAUUUACAUUUUAAGUCUUCACUGUAUUUGAAUAAUCAACAUUGGCAGAAGCGGUGCUGAUACUUUUCUACUCAUGGUAAAAUGCUUCUUUCUGUAACAGCAGCAUCUGUAACUGUGAUCUAGGCUAUAUAGUCACUCUGAAAAUGAAUUCUGACUAUCAAAUAGAACUGGGAACACAAGCUAAGGCUUGGUGAAGAAAAAUUUGUUACAUAAAUAGUACAAUGAUAAGAACAAAUCAAAACCUGUAUUCUGUCAAGCAUGGUAGGCAUAGGAGUUCUUCUCAUGUGUUUCCCUUCCAACCUACUGGUUUCAACUGCUUGGAUCUUUCAGAACUUUUCAGAUUUUUCAUUUGUUUGAAAAACGCAGUUUUAUUUCUAGAAAGUCUGAUGGGGAGAGAGAAGUCCUUUUGAUCAGACUGCAUUUACAAUAGUGUCAGCACUUCAGAAAAUAAAAUGGAUAGCUCAAAGACCUGUACGGAUUUGGGAGAAAGUCCUUGAUAAAUCGGAGGUGAAAAAAAAAACCACAACAAAGAUCUGGCAAGUCAAACUCUAUUUUUAGGGGGUAACAGGCUUCAGAAUAUGAGAAUGUAGAACCCUGUGAUCAGAAUUGCUUUUAGUGAGAAAUCCUUUCUUCUGUCUCUGUCCCCUUCAAAGUAAAAGAUAAUGUUCUUGGUGGAAGCAUUUAAAAAGGCAGACUUCAAUAUACUGCAUAUGAGUCAUAUAUAAUUCCUUAACAGUUACUAAAUAGUAACUUCUGGAUAUUGGGUCUGAAAUAGUCGUCUUGGAAGUUGUGCUGUGGUGUUAACCAGGUAUUCCAUUUUAUUUUCUGCUUCAUUUUACUGCCCUUGGGAGCAUACGCUGACUCAGUUAGCUAGGGUAAGUGUGGAGAAAACUGAAAAAUAAUUUUCGAGAAUACAGGGAUAAUGGCUUUCAGCUACUUAGCAGUGGCCUGUCAUACAUCUAAAGUUGCCAUUUUCAUGUAUUUCUUCAAGCUUUUAUUCUACGUUUAUUAAUAAUUUGUAGGCCCUUACAUCUAUUCUCCAGUUUCUUGAUGAGAUCCUCAUGUUUAUAAAUGUAAAAUCACUUGGUUUUUAGUGUGUACUUCAAAAUUAAAUACACUUAUCUCGAAGCCCUCAGCACUGGUGUUUCCUCUGGAAAAAUAGUACUUUCUUUCUGGAUUAAAUUGGGAUAGCAAGCAUCUGUCGAGUCUCUGCACAGAAUUUUCAUUGUUUUGUAUUGGGGAGAGUUUAGAACUAGUGUGUGCUUUGAAAAUUUGGACUGUUUCAUUACUUUGAGAACUGGAUUAUUCAGGUAUGAUCUGAUUAUUCAGACAGGAACUUGCUAUCUUCUUCCCGUUACAGAGUAUUCUCUACGCAGCAGAUCUGAAUUGGUGAAGCCAAUUUAGCAAGUAAAGGAAUAUGGUUGCACUUUUCUUUUUGAUUUGUCAUACCCUUGCAAGAAUCACUAAAAUUUAUUUCUUAGAGCUGGUGAGUUCACUGCUGCUAGUAACGUUUUGACUUAUUUUCUUGGAGGGAGCUGUCCAGAAAAGCUGCUGUAGUAAAUCUCCUGACAUCAUCACCUUGUGAACAUAGCUUUUUCAUUCUCUUGAACUAGCUUAGGUGGGAAGACAACAGCAGGUGACACCAACGGCUGAGUAGGUGGCAUGCUGCUGGCAAGGACAGCUCACCUUAAGAGUGGUACACAUACUUCGAGAUUCUAGAUUGAUGCAAGAGCUGUCAGAAACCCAGCAUGUUUACAAGCUUUUGUGCAGUAGCUUGGAGGUUGUUACUGUAAGCUGAGAAAUCUGAUUGGUUUCUGAAUUCAGGCAUAGUGAUGUAUUACAGGAAAAUUGCUCUGUCUAGGGAAGAUUAAUAGUUGAGCUGCUUCCUUUUGUAUGGUGUUGCACAAAUUCUCAACAUAGAAGUUGGGGAUCAGCAUAGAUUUUUUCUUUUUUUUUUUUUCUUUCACGUGUAACAAUUGUUACAGUCUUGUGAUGUUGUCGCCUAUGGAUGAAACCUUGGAAUACUGCUUUAGCAAUAAAAAUAGCAGUACCAAGUCUUUAUGGUGUCUCGUUGUCUUCACUUCAAUGUUAUUAUUCAUUCCAGAAAGUCAAAACACUGUUGUUAAAAUCCUUUCAGUGUCUUUUUUAAGUGUCAGUGUUUGAUGGAAACUGUGUUCACCACAAUGCGAUAGAAUUGGGUAAUCUCACUCCACAAUUUCUGUGUUUUCCACAGUAGAGCUUUUUGGGCUUGGUUCUGCAUUUGCAGGUUUCUUUAAAUUUUUUUUUUCUUCGCCAAUCUUACUGCUCUUGGACUACACUAAUUCAAUGUUUCCCUCUUGACAUAUUAAGAAAUAUGUAAAAUAUAGAGAGCCUUCCUACUAGGAGCAACAGCCAGAUCUCAUUCCAGCCCCUGCAAGUUAGCAGACAAAUGAAAAGUUUUUUUCCUGUGAAGAAUCUAGCUACUUCUAGCCACUCACCCAUGUCUCUAAGCUACUAAAGAAGAAAGCUAUGCUAAAACAAGUUAAAACAAAAAAAUCGUCAGAUUACGAUAGGAAAAUCAACUAAAUGUCAGAGAACUAAGGGAAAAUAUUAUUUGUGCAGUGGGCCACCUAUUACAUUGCAAAUACAGUCUAUAUCUAAGUUAUCGCAGGAACAAGUCAAACGAGAUUCCUGAGUCUCUUUUGUGAAUUUAUGCAUAAUUACAAAAAAAUUAUGCAGCCUUUAAUGUCACACAGAAAAAAACCUUCAACCCUUGCAGCAAAGAAUUUAAUUUAAAAGGUUUUAACUGCUUGCUAUGUUAAAGUAAAUAGCAAAGGAACAGAGUGGAAAUGAGAAGGGUAAGAUGGUGAUAUUGAAGUUUGUUUGAAUGAAAAUUUAGGAUUUUGAUUAAUCGAGCAGUUGUUGGAGCCAAGUUUACCAUUUUUGUGACUGUCAAACAAAUUAUGGUCAUUCAUCUGGCCUAUUAAAAACUGGGCUAUGCUUAAUCUGGAUUCCAGUUUCCAGUGCUAGCAAACGACAUUAUGCUCCUCAUUACGAGUUUCAGAAAACGAUAGGAAUUCUGAGGGCUGUGUCCAGUCCCUGUACACAUUGCUAAUAACCUAGGGAGCCAGCUAUCCAGCUACAAUAUUAAUAUUUUUCAGAGCUUUGCUACUGUUUUCCACAACAUAUUGUUUACUGUCUUAAUUCUAGCUUUUUCUUCUGUCUUCUGUUGCAGCUUCUUAUAUUGUACCCUGAGGUCUGUUGCCUUUACCCCUACAGAGAUUACAGGAAAAAUAAAUGAGGGGUAAGAAAAAGAUGUUAAGAAUGGAAAAAACAACCACCAAAAAAGGUGUUAGUAAACCCAAGGGGAAAAAAAUAUCACAGUACCUUGUAUUUUACUGGGUAGAUUAGGAUUGUCUUGGAUAUUAGGAAAAGGUUCUUUGUCGAGAGGGUGGUCAGUCCCUGGAACAGGUUCCCCAGGGAAGUGGUCCCAGCACCAAGUCUGUCAGAGUUCAAGGAGCAUCUGGAUGAUGCUCUUAGUCAUGGUUUAAUUUUAGGUAGUCCUGGGAGGAGCAGGGAGUGGGACUCAGUGAUAUUUUGGGUCUCUUCCAACUCAAGAUACUCUGUGAUUCUAUCUUUGACAGAGAAAGAACACUCCAACUAGGGGUAGCAGUACAGAGGAUUGAAUUACUGAACCUUUUUAAGUCCCUUCAGGCUUUAUUCUGUGCUUCAGUUAAAUCUAGCACACCAGUCACAGGCGAUCAAUGACAAACACUGGACAGCACACCUCAUCAAUGUAAAUAUCUGAAAUGUAGGACACCAUCUGCAGGUGAUCUGUUCAGAUGUUGGAUCUAGUAGUUUAACUAAACCCAUUUCCUGGUGUUCUGAAGCAAGUUCUCUCUACUUAAUCAGUACUUUCUCAAAUUCCAACUGCUCUAAAUUUGCUUUCUGUUUAGGCAUGUUGCAUGUGGAGGGUUCUCUAUAAAAAUCAAAAUAAAUUAUAUACAUUAUCACCCAUGUGAUUCCCAUAAUAAGUUGUUCCCUUGUUUCAUGUGUCCAUGCUGUGGCCCCAUGGAAUUAUUCAGACUUCCAUCCAGCAGUGCAGUUGGAGUACUUUAUUCUGACGUCUCUUAUUAGCUAGCUUAAAACAAGUGAACAAAUUAAAUGUAAAGUGUUCUUUAUUAAAUAACUCAAAAGGUAAAGCAAAUUGUGCGAUUAAGACAGACAACAUGAUGGUUCCAAAAGAUUUUUACAGCAGGAAACAAAUUGCAGGAAACAAGCAUUUCAGUCUAGCAGCCAAAUUGUCCUCAUUUUUACGGAGUUAAUUUCGGUCCUCAAAUUGUGACUUGUUUUUUAAAAGA
Molecule: non-coding RNA, 6410 nt
Organism: Phalacrocorax carbo (great cormorant)
Lineage: Eukaryota; Metazoa; Chordata; Aves; Suliformes; Phalacrocoracidae
Source: RefSeq, a predicted model, not a curated record